UACGUAGGGGUGCAAGCGUUUAAUCGGAAUUACUGGGCGUAAAGCGUGCGCAGGCGGUUUUGUAAGUUUGUCGUGAAAGCCCCGGGCUCAACCUGGGAAUUGCGAUGAAGACUGCAAGGCUUGAAUCUGGCAGAGGGGGGUAGGAAUUCCACGUGUAGCAGGUGAAAUGCGUAGAGAUGUGGAGGAACACCGAUGGCGAAGGCAGCCCCCUGGGUCAAGAUUGACGCU
This 228-nucleotide ribosomal RNA is filed under the name uncultured bacterium. RNAcentral's name for it is "partial 16S ribosomal RNA". It matches the Rfam family "Bacterial small subunit ribosomal RNA", at positions 524 to 747 of the family's 1533-position model. The record is from RNAcentral.